This 465-nucleotide ribosomal RNA is filed under the name Vreelandella stevensii. Its description in RNAcentral is "partial 16S ribosomal RNA". It matches the Rfam family "Bacterial small subunit ribosomal RNA", at positions 338 to 795 of the family's 1533-position model. The record is from RNAcentral. Lineage: Bacteria; Pseudomonadati; Pseudomonadota; Gammaproteobacteria; Oceanospirillales; Halomonadaceae.
CCUACGGGUGGCAGCAGUGGGGAAUAUUGGACAAUGAGCGAAAGCCUGAUCCAGCCAUGCCGCGUGUGUGAAGAAGGCCUUCGGGUUGUAAAGCACUUUCAGUGGGGAAGAAAGCCUUGGGGCUAAUACCCUCGAGGAAGGACAUCACCCACAGAAGAAGCACCGGCUAACUCCGUGCCAGCAGCCGCGGUAAUACGGAGGGUGCGAGCGUUAAUCGGAAUUACUGGGCGUAAAGCGCGCGUAGGCGGUCUGAUAAGCCGGUUGUGAAAGCCCCGGGCUCAACCUGGGAACGGCAUCCGGAACUGUCAGGCUAGAGUGCAGGAGAGGAAGGUAGAAUUCCCGGUGUAGCGGUGAAAUGCGUAGAGAUCGGGAGGAAUACCAGUGGCGAAGGCGGCCUUCUGGACUGACACUGACGCUGAGGUGCGAAAGCGUGGGUAGCAAACAGGAUUAGAUACCCGUGUAGUC